CUUCGAUGGACCAGGUAGGCGGGAUACCGUGAGUUUAGCAUAUAUAGCGGAGGAAAGAACUUAUAGGAUUCCUUAGUAGGCGAGCGAACGGGAAGCAGCUUGAAAUGGGCGGUUGUGUCGAAUUGUAGUCUGGAGAGGUCUCAGGGCGGACGGGCAAGUCUGGAGGGGGGCGGAGAGGGUGAGAGCCGUGUGCCGGACUGUGCACGAGGCGUGUUGGAGUCGGGUUGUUUGGGAUGCAGCCAUAGGGCGGUAAUUCGUCAAGGUAAUAUGGGUGAGACGAUAGAACAGUACGCGAGGGAAGAUGAAGGAUUUGAAAGAGAGUCAAGAGUGUUGAAUUGUGGGAGGGAGCGAAUGGGGGCGGGAUGCGUCGGUGGAUGUGGACGGUGUAGUCGGUCGCGAUCGGUCGGGACGUGGACGGUGCGGAUUGGUAGGGGCAAGCAGGCUGUUGAUAUGCUGUGGAGAUGCGUUGUGCGAUGUGGUUGGCAGGGGCGUACGGGUGUUCGGACUGGUGUCUGGACGGCUGCGGGACCAUUCGGCCGUUUGAAACGGACAAGGAGUUGACAUGUGUGCGAGUCACGGGUGAGUAACCGCAGGCGAGGAAGUGAUUGGCGGGAUCCUCGUGGGGUGCACGCGACGACUUGAUCUUCUGAGAGGGUUCGAGUGUGAGAUGCUGUCGGGACCGAAGAUGGUGAACUAUGCUGAGGGGGCGAAGCAGAGGAACUUGGUGGAGGCCGAGCGAUACUGAGUGCAAUGUUCGUCUGAUUGGGUAUAGGGGGAAGAUAUGAACGUUAGUAGCUGGUUCCUCGAAGUUUCUCAGGAUAGCUGGAGCCGGGUGCGAGUUUAUCGGGUAAGGAAUGAUUAGAGGAUGGGGGGCAACGCCUGAUAUUCUAACUUUAAUAGGUAGGACGGGCGGCUGUUUGUUGAGCGGCAGGAUGAGAGUCAGUGGGCAUUUUUGGUAAGCAGAAUGGCGAUGCGGGAUGACGGAAGGGGUUACGGUGCAAUGGCGUAACUAGAACAAGGGUGUUGGUCGAUUAGAGCAGGAGGUGGUCUGGAAGUCGAAUCGUAAGGAGUGUGUAAAUACUGCGAUAAUAGCCGAAAUGGAUGGGUUAAGCGGCGAUACCGGCGUGAGGCAGUGCAGGCCGAUGAGUAGGAGGGCGGGCGGUCGUGCAAACUUGGGGUGAGCCGGGCGGAGGGCGUCGGUGGGAUUUGGUGGUAGUAGAAUAUUCAAUGAGAAUUUGAAGGCGAGAGGGGAAGGUUCAUGUGAAGGCAUUGCAUGGGUUAGUCGAUCUAAGAGGGGGGAAGCCGUCAGAUAGGUGUUUACGGAGUUCGAAGGGAUGGGUUAAAUUCUGAACGGGAGUGGCGGUGAGGACGUUAGGGAUUCGGAGAGUCGGGGGGGCUCGGGAGAGUUAUUUUUCUGUUUAAGCUGCCACUGGAACGAUCAGUGGAGGUAGGGUAGCGGUGGAAGGAGACGUGGCGGUGUCGGUGCGCCCGGGGCCUUGAAUCGGAGGACGAGUGUCCACGCGGUGUAUCAUACGAUAGGUUCAAGGUGAAGCUUGGUCGAUGGAAAUGUAGGAAGGGAAGUCGGCAAAUGGAUCGUACUCGGGAAAGGAUUGGUUGAGGGUGGGCGGGGGUCUGUCGACCGUCGGUGUCGGUGGAUGCUGAGUGCUUCGGGCGAGAGGGGUACGGUGCGGCGGGGGACGGACUGGGAAGGCUUUCGGGGGCUUCCGGGCGUCGAACAGCAUCAGAAUGGUAGGAAGGGGAAUCGACUGUUUAUUAAACAAGCAUUGCGAUGGUCUGGGAUGCUAAGCAAUGUGAUUUUGCCAGUGUUGAAUGUCAAGUGAAGAAUUCAACAAGCGGGGUAACGGGGGAGUAUAUGAUUCUUAAGGUAGCAAUGCUGUAUUAAUUAGUGAGCGCAUGAUGGAUUAACGAGAUUCAUGUCUGUUAUAUCAGCGAAACAGCAAGGGAGGGCUUGGAGAUAGCGGGGAAGAGACCUGUUGAGCUUGAUUAGUCGAUUUGUGAAUGAUUGAGAGGUGUAGUAUAGUGGGAGCCUCGGGCGAAGUGAAUACAUACUUUUAACGUUAUUUUAUUAUUCGUGAAUCGGAAGCGGGGCAGCUUUUUUGGACCAAGGCGCUCGGCGGGUGAUCGGGGGAAGAAUUGUAGGUGGGGAGUUUGGCUGGGGGGCAUUGUUAAAAGAUAGCAGGUGUCUAAGAUGAGUCACGAGAAAGAAUUGUGUAGAAGAAGGGUAAAGCUCGUUUGAUUUGAUUUCAGUAGAUAGACGUGAAGGUGGCUAAGAUCUUUAGACUUCGGAUUUGAAGCUAGAGGUGUAGAAAGUUACCAGGGAUAAUGGCUUGUGGAGCAGCGUUUAGGACGUUGUUUUUGAUCUUCGAUGUCGGUUUUAUAUUGUGAAGCAGAUUCAAGUGUUGGAUUGUUCACCAAUAGGGAAGUGAGCUGGGUUUAGACGUGUGAGACAGGUUAGUUUUACCUAUGAUGAUAGUGUCGCAUAGUAUUAACUAGUACGAGAGGAAGUUGAUUCGCAAUUGGUCAUGGCUUGGUUGAAAGCAGUGGGGAAGUACGUGCGCUGGAUUAUGAUGACGCUCUAAGUCAGAAUCGGGUAGAAGCGAGCGUGUGCCGUGUGUUUGCGACAGCAGU
This is a non-coding RNA of Helianthus annuus (common sunflower), 2649 nucleotides long. The record is from Rfam. NCBI's taxonomy places the organism in Eukaryota, Viridiplantae, Streptophyta, Magnoliopsida, Asterales, Asteraceae.